Non-coding RNA from Caenorhabditis elegans, 225 nucleotides. NCBI's taxonomy places the organism in Eukaryota, Metazoa, Nematoda, Chromadorea, Rhabditida, Rhabditidae. The record is from Ensembl.
AGUGCACAGUGGUGAGUGGUGGAAGAGUAACAGAUAAAAAACGACCGAACCGGGGGAGUAGAAGUUGGCGGUGGGAGGAAAAAGAGCAUGCAUAUAACCUCGUCUUGCUCUUUUUCCUUGUAUUCAACCUCUCAACAAGAGGUCAAAUUGUCCAUCGUGGAAAAAUGAAACUCGUUUUCUUUUUUUUUUGGACUUUGACACCUAUAGGUUCUAUGAUUUAUGGUA